CCCUGGUGUUAACAUUCUCGCGGCUUGGCCUCCCUCUCCUGAUAACAAACCAACCAUUAAACCUAACUUUUUUCUUGCAUCUGGUACCUCUAUGUCUUGUCCUCACCUCAGUGGAGUAGCAGCAUUGCUGAAAAGCGCGCAUCCCACUUGGUCCCCUGCAGUUAUUAAAUCAGCAAUCAUGACAACGGCUAAUAUAGUAAACCUCGCCAAUGAUCCCAUCUUAGAUGAAAGGCUACUUCCAGCUAACAUCUUUGCCGUUGGUGCAGGACAUGUCAAUCCAUCAAAAGCUAAUGAUCCAGGGCUAGUUUACGAUACACGAUUUAAGGACUACUUGCCUUACUUAUGUGGUUUGAACUACACAAAUCGACAGGUGGGAAAUCUUCUACAACGUAAGGUGGAUUGUAAACAAGUGAAAAGUAUUCCUGAAGCGCAACUAAAUUAUCCUUCAUUCUCCAUCACACUCGGGGCAAAUUCUCAGACAUAUACGAGAACAGUAACUAACAUUGGGGACGCUAAAUCAUCUUACAAUGUGGAAAUAGGUUCACCACCGGGCGUUUCUGUCAUUGUUAAGCCCUCUACUCUAAAAUUCUCGAAGUUGAACCAGAAGUUCAAAUAUCAAGUAACAUUUUCAAAAAGAGCUAAUAGCUCAAAUAGUGGUAUUGUUCAAGGAUUCUUGAAAUGGACUAGUAAUAAGUACUCUGUAAGAAGUCCAAUUGCAGUUGUGUUAGACACUACAAUUGGUUUCUAGUUUAAUUUCUAUUUUUAGUAAUUGGAACAAUGUAUAACAAGUCUAUAUAUUAGUGGUUUCAAUAAAAACUGUAGAAUAAGUUCCAAAAGUAUUCACAUUCUAUUUGGCCACACAGAUUCAGUUAUUCUGUGAAAUUAUAAUCCCACCUUCUAUAUCUGUUAGGUAAUACCAAGAUUUUGGCAUAAAAUUUAUAUCGAUAUUCGCUUAUAGAUAUUAGUUAACACCAAUCAGAGGCGGACCUAUGUGUAACCUUGAGGGGUCAUCAGACCCCGUAAAUUUCGGCAAAAAUCCUGUAUUGUACACCUUGAAAAUGAUUAAUUUAAAUCACUUGGCUCCCUAAACACUAAAAGCCUUUAGGGAGCACUGGUUGAGCAGAAUAUUGGUGCCCUCGUCGUGUUAAAAUCUUGGGUCUGCUUCUAACAUUUUGAAGAAAUCUCUACAAGUUUUAAAGAACCAAGUAUUACUUUAAAUUGAAUUGACAUAUUGUCUCCAAUCUGGUGGUUGUUUUAUGAAAUUAACUUUACUUUGUCAAUCAUUUCCCCCCACAUGGUAUUCAAGAACCACAUCACUGCAAGUAAAAAGCACAUUGUAUUAAGUAUGUAGUAUAUGCAUAGAACCUAAAGAAUAGAAAAUUAGUAACAACUUCAGCAAUGAUCUGCAUAUGUUGUGCUUGAUCUGCACUCAAGGGUGUAAUUUAUCGGUUAAUAAAUUCGGGGAAAGUCAUGGAUGAAAAGCCAAGGUUCUAAUUUUAGUAGAUUCUUUAAGAAACGGUAGGUAAUUUCUUAUCAUCAGUCUAAGUUUUGAUAGAUAGAGUUGCUCGAUAUAUGUGCUGGUGAGAGGUAACAUGUAUUCAAUGGAAUAUUCAAGGUGCGUUCAAACUUGAGCCAUGUCAAUUUACCAAACAGUCCCAUAGUGAAAAUCAAGAAAAGCAACCUAUAGAACAGUUUGUGGUUGCAAACUUUAUAGUAUAACUGUCAAUAUGGGCCGGGCCGGGCUAAGCCAGCCCGGCCCACGUAGACUUUCAUAAUUAACGGGCUGGGUUGGGCUAGCCCACCGUUUUGAUGGGCCUUAUAAUGGUCAACCCACCCCAGCACUAUGUGGGCCGCGGGCCCCCACGGGCCUGCCCAUCAUUUUUAAAAAUAUAAUUUUAUAUUUUUUCUUUAAGUUCUGACCUAAAAAAAGAUAAUUAUUUAAAAGUUAAAAUAUCUUAUUGGAAAAAAUUUGCAAAACUUAAUAACUUUUUAUAUUGUUCCAAUAUAUCACAAUAAAUACUAAAAAAAGUAAAAAACAGGACUAUAUUUCAUUCACUAAAAGUCAAAACUUAAAACAAACUAUUCAAGAGAACGUUCAUGAUGCUUAUGAGAUAUCCAACACAUCAUCUUCAUCAAACACAUUUGAAUCCGCUUGUGACAAGGUUGUCUUAACAUCUUCACUUUCAUCUACAAUUCAUAUGCAAUAUUAAUUAGUUAAAUAUUAAAAAAAAAAUUAAAAAUUAAUAAUAUUUAAAUUCACAUAAAAAAAUAUUACCAGUUUGAGUUUGGAAAAAUCUGUGCAGCCAAUUUCGAGUAGUAACAAGUGUUUGGAUAUUUUCAUAAUAAAUGUAACUUCUGUACUUUGUAAGAACACGCCACCAAUGCUAAAUAUUGAUUCCGAUGGUACAAUGGUAAUAANNNNNNNNNNNNNNNNNNNNNNNNNNNNNNNNNNNNNNNNNNNNNNNNNNNNNNNNNNNNNNNNNNNNNNNNNNNNNNNNNNNNNNNNNNNNNNNNNNNNNNNNNNNNNNNNNNNNNNNNNNNNNNNNNNNNNNNNNNNNNNNNNNNNNNNNNNNNNNNNNNNNNNNNNNNNNNNNNNNNNNNNNNNNNNNNNNNNNNNNNNNNNNNNNNNNNNNNNNNNNNNNNNNNNNNNNNNNNNNNNNNNNNNNNNNNNNNNNNNNNNNNNNNNNNNNNNNNNNNNNNNNNNNNNNNNNNNNNNNNNNNNNNNNNNNNNNNNNNNNNNNNNNNNNNNNNNNNNNNNNNNNNNNNNNNNNNNNNNNNNNNNNNNNNNNNNNNNNNNNNNNUGUAGGAACUGACAAGAUGCAUACAAAUAAAGAAAAGAGCCAUCUCAUGUUUCCAGAAAAUUAAAGAGCUAGGGUCCUUUGACACUUGUUAGUUGUCUAGUCACAAUCAUAAAGAAAAUAAAUCACAUGCUCCUAAAUAUUCCAGUAGUAGGUACGCCUAAAAAGACAGCACAUUGUACGGACUAUCUCGCAUUCAUGUAGAGUUCGAAAAAGGGUCGUAUCCUGAGAAGUGUGAUAUAAGGUAAUUCCAAAAGUUUUAAUCCAUGACUAGGGCUGACAACAUAGUUAAAAGAAAACAAUUAACCACUCAUAUUAUCCACUAAAAAAUGAGUUGGAUUAUAAACUUUUUAAAAAUAAGUGAAAUAUGGAUAAGAACUAUAUUAUUCAUUUAGAAAAUGAAUAAGCAAUGGUCUAACUUUUAUAUUUAUAAAGCCUCAAAUUGGGGGUUCCUCAAAUUAUGGAGACUAGGAAUUCUCCCAAAAGUGAUCAUAUGUAAGAAUUUAUAGAUAAUAUGAUUACUCAUAUUAUCCGCCGGUUAAACCAUUUUUUAUCCGUAUUAAAUAUGGGUCGGGUCGGAUAAUUGAUCCGUUUUUUCUGGCGUCUGGCACCUCUAUGUCUUGUCCUCAUCUCAGUGGAGUAGCAGCAUUGCUGAAAAGCGCGCAUCCCACUUGGUCCCCUGCAGUUAUUAAAUCAGCAAUCAUGACAACGGCUAAUAUAGUAAACCUCGCCAACGAUCCCAUCUUAGAUGAAAGGCUACUUCGCCGUUGGUGCAGGACAUGUCAAUCCAUCAAAAGCUAAUGAUCCAGGGCUAGUUUACGAUACACGAUUUAAGGACUACUUGCCUUAUUUAUGUGGUUUGAACUACACAAAUCGACAGGUGGGAAAUCUUCUACAACGUAGGGUGGAUUGUAAACAAGUGAAAAGUAUUCCUGAAGCGCAACUAAAUUAUCCUUCAUUCUCCAUCACACUCGGGACAAAUUCUCAGACAUAUACGAGAACAGUAACUAACACUGGGAACGCUAAAUCAUCUUACAAUGUGGAAAUAGGUUCACCACCGGGUGUUUCUGUGAUUGUUAAGCCCUCUACUCUAAAAUUCUCGAAGUUGAACCAGAAGUUCAAAUAUCAAGUAACAUUUUCAAAAAGAGCUAAUAGCUCAAACAGUGGUAUUGUUCAAGGAUUCUUGAAAUGGACUAGUAAUAAGUACUCUGUAAGAAGUCCAAUUGCAGUUGUGUUAGACACUACAAUUGGUUUCUAGUUUAAUUUCUAUUUUUAGUAAUUGGAACAAUGUAUAACAAGUCUAUAUAUUAGUGGUUUCAAUAAAAACUGUAGAAUAAGUUCCAAAAGUAUUCACAUUUUAUUUGGCCACACAGAUUCAGUUGUUCUGUGAAAUUAUAAUCCCACCUUCUAUAUCUGUUAGGUAAUACCAAAAUUUUGACAUAAAAUUUAUACCGAUAUUAGUUAAUACGAAUCAGAGGCGGACUUAUGUGUAACCUUGAGGGGUCAUCAAACCUGGUAAAUUUCGGCAGAAAUCUUGUAUUGUACACUUUGAAAAUGGUUAAUAUAAAUCACUUGGGGACACUGGUUGAGCAGAAUACUGGUUCCCCCGUCGUGUUAAAAUCCUGGAUCCGCUUCUGACACCAAUAACCAAACGGUGGAUCUAAAUUUAGUACUGAAAUUAGUAUCCUAAUCCCAGUAACCAAACGACUCCUCGAAGUACCGGCCCUAAGCGGGCAUCGAAGGUUAAGAUGGUCAACUCAUUGGAAAUUCUUGAGUAUUUAUAGGCAACCAACAUACCCUUUUAGAAAAGAUUUCUUGAUUCACAAACAGACAUCUCCGGACAGGCCUGUUUGACCAAAAGAUAUUGAAACGUUUUUCAUUAAAUCAAUUAAGAAAAUUGAAGGGGUAAAUCUCGGCCAAAUAUAAUAAGAUCUAGCUUGAAGGAUGUUAAGAAUGAGCAAGAUGAAUAAUAUUUCUUUGUAUUUCAGGGUUGAACGACAAAUUAUCAAUAUGACAACUCUGAAUGUAAAGAGAUUUUGUAAUAGAUAUUCCCAGCUUCAAGUAAAAGUCGUAUAUAGAUCUUAGAAUUGUGAUCCCAGAAGCUCCCCUUUUUAAAGAGUGUCCGGUCCCCUUUUAUAGGGGACAAUCUCCCUUCUUACUCUCAAAAGAAAAAAGUACAACUUAAAGAAUAUUCCAAAGGCAUAUUCUCAUUGUUUCCUAUCAUGCUAACACGACUACAAGUGUCGUGCGUUCGCUAGCCACUGUCGAUCGUCGUUCAUCAUGACGAUCCUUAGGAAGCGACAUCGUAGGGACCUUGCUCUCUGCAUUACUUGGUUUCGGUCGUGGUCGUCCAAAUUUCGACCCAUACAAGGCCCUUUCAUAAUAGACAUAACUGUUUAUUCGAAUUUAUAAUUCAAAUAAACUGAUUUUCUGUCACAAAUUAAAAUUUAAAGUAAAAUAAUUAACUUUAGGAUCCGACACGGCCCGCGCCCAAGUCAAAUCCAAGUCUAAGUCUUUGAUUAUAUAAUAUAUAAAUAUAGAGUUUUUGACUAAAAUUAUCCCUUAUCUAUAGGAAUAGGUUCAUUUUUGUCCUUCAAAUAUAAACUAGAGCACCUUUAAUCCUAUAACUUUGUUAAACUAGAGCACCUUUGGUCACACUAACCUCACCAACUUAAAAACUAACGGAAGGGGCAAAUUUUCUAAUGGUGAUUGCCUGAAGCUUCUCAAAUGAUUUCCUUAUGGGUUCUGCAAAUUUGAUUAGUUCAAAAUUGUGACAUCCCCACCUUUACCCAAGGAGUAAUUAAUGUAGGAAACAUAUCUUUUUAAAUUAACUAUCCUACAGCAGCAACAACCAAUCCUUUUAAGCAGAAACUUACAUAUCAAAAAAUAUAUCUCCAGUCACUCUACUUUCUUGAGUUGCUUUCAUAUGGUCUUGGCUAGCAGGCUCUCUUCUUACCUACAAUAAAGAAAAAUAUUAUCAUUAAUAUAAUUAAAUAAAGUGAUAUGUGUAAUAAACUCAUACCGGAACCUUUACAGGAGCAGAAGAUGCAAUAGGAAAUGAGGGUUCUUGUCGCACCGUCUCAUCAUCAUGAGAAUCUGGAUACACACGAUUUAACUUGCAGGUUCUUUUGUUAUGGCCUGGAUUAUGGCAUAAGCUACAAUCUAAUUUUGUUUGCUUCCUUUUCAUUUUUUGUCAACUUGCUCCAACUUCAUCAGGCUCUUUUUUGCGAAGCUUUUGUUUUCUUCCUUUGGUACUUUGUCUUUCCAAUCGUGGAAGCAAAGGAGGAAUGUUAUUCGACUUAGGCCACAUCUCUUGACCAUUCAUAGGUAGAAUAGAAAGUGCAUAGAUCAUUCUAUAAGUUUCUACCUUAUAACAAUCAUCCACAUAUGAAUUAAUGUCAUCAUGUUUAGCCCAAAUCGCGGCAAUGGCAUGCUUGCAAGGAAUUCCUGUUAGAUCCCAUUUCCUACAACUGCAUUUUCUAUUUAGCAAAUUCACAACCCACUUGUUCAUUAUACUUGUUCCUAUUAUCUCAUAAUUCCACUCAUUUGACUUUCUGGGAAUAAAUUCAGCUGCUUUCGCUUGAUUUUUGUGCAAUACAUCCUUAAUCCUGGGGCAAAUAUCACCAUCAUUCCACUUGGUACCUUUAUCCCUAUUUGCUUGCAUCCUUGUCAUAAGGUGAGACCUUAACUUCUCCAGUAAAGUGAUAAUCGACUUAUCUCUAGCCUCAAUGAUCAUGCUAUUAAAACAUUCACACAUAUUAUUGAGUAAGGUAUCGCAUUUCACAGUUUCAGGAAAGUGAGAUUUAGACCAUUCAGUAUGCGACUUCUUCUUGAGCCAAUGAGCAGCUUAUGAAUCUAUAUCAAAGAUGUCAACCAUGCAAUCCUCAAACCACUUUACUGUUGUAGCCUUUGCAGCCUUCCAAAGGGCAUUCCUGAGUGAGAUACUACUGAAUCCGGCCCUCUGCAUUAUGAUAAUGUCACUUGAACUCUAAGUUCCACACUAACGUGAUCUCUGAAUGCACCGAUUGCCCAAGACCUAUUUGAGCUUAUGACCUUAAGAUAUCUUUGUGCAAUAUAAGAAGAUGUGAUUGCUUUGUUACGGUGGUUCCAAAUCUUACAAUCAUGAGUGGGAUUGUAUGUUCUGAUCUGAAAUGUUCUAUCUCAAUGCAUUCUUGAAGCUAGAAUCUCUCAUUUGCAAUCUAGAUGAUCACAAGUUGCUCUCACUCUCGAGUUAUCAUUCUUGCACCACUUAAUGUACUUCCCUUCAUUAACUUCAUGAGUUAUUACAACAUAUUUGAACUCAUGCUUGUUUUCAAAUGUCAAUUCUAAUGCCAACACUGGUUUAUCCCCGUCUGUUUUAGGAUUGAACAUCGGAAAGUUGAAACUCUCACUGUCAGAGUCACAUUCUAAACUCUUUGUAUCAUCCGAGUCAACACAAUAUGUAUCACCUUCUUCAGCAGUCAUUUUUUUUCUUAACUUCUUCACUAACUUCAUAUAUAUGAUUCACAUUUUCAUUAUCAUCUGAAAAAUCAUUUUCAGUAGAAACAAGUCGCAUUCUAUUCCCGUACCUCCUGCACUUCUGCCAAAAAGUAACAGAAUCUCUCUCAUAACCACAUAGUUCUGCCAUGGAUUUGAAUUGCGAGAGCUUCAACUCCAUAUGGUUAACAUAAUCAAUAAAAUCUAUACGACCCCCAAGAUAAUAUCUGCUAGGCUGAUGCUUCAUCGUACCACCAUGUGUUACUUUUAUACUGAAAAAAGAAGCCUCGUAUGCAUGGUCUGCCAACAACAACAACAACCCAGUAUAAUCCCACUUAGUGGGGUCUGGGGAGGGUAGUGUGUACGCAGACCUUACCCCUACCCUAGGGUAGAGAGACUGUUUCCAAAUAGACCCCCGGCAUCCUUCCCUCCAAGAACUUCCCACCUUGCUCUUGGGGAGACUCGAACUCACAACCUCUCAGUUAGAAGUGGAGUUGCUUACCAUUAUAGUAACCCUGACGUUAGACCUUUUUCUAGUGGACACGUACAGAGUAAUUUUAUAAGAAGAAAAAGACACGUUAAUAUGGGUGGACCUAAUUCGCCAACGAUUAAAAAAGAGAGAUAAAAGAUUAGCAAUGUUAGAAACAACUUUUUUAUUCCUUAUUGUUUGUCUCUAUUCCAAUAUUUUUUAUUCGAAAAGCUACUGCAUAUCACUGUAUUGCACGAAGAAUAGGAGAGAUUUAAUCUACUAACUUUAUUAUAAUACAAUGAAGCUCUCAUGUGUUAUAUAAUAAUCAUUAAAUAAACUAAAGAAUGAGAAAUUGAAUCAACUUACAGUAAAAAAAAAAAAAAUCACAAUUUCUUCAGUUUGAUGAAAAUCCAAAUACUAUUUCUUGCUAAAAUCUUACUAUAAUUGGGUAUUUCAUUACCAUGGCAUCUAAUAAUCAUUGCUGGAGAUCAAUAAAUAAGCUUCUUCACUUUGAGUCCUCUUCUUGUUUUCAGUCAUCGAAGCUUUUUUUGAGAGGCUAGGGUUUUUGGUAAUGGGUUUCUUUGUCG
Molecule: long non-coding RNA, 8330 nt
Filed under: Nicotiana tabacum (common tobacco)
Lineage: Eukaryota; Viridiplantae; Streptophyta; Magnoliopsida; Solanales; Solanaceae
Description: long non-coding RNA (NTAB_LNC000338)
Source: RNAcentral